Molecule: ribosomal RNA, 533 nt
Filed under: Bacillus tequilensis
Lineage: Bacteria; Bacillati; Bacillota; Bacilli; Caryophanales; Bacillaceae
Description: bacterial SSU rRNA
Rfam family: Bacterial small subunit ribosomal RNA
Source: RNAcentral
CUUGGCUCCCUGGAUGUUAGCGGCGGACGGGUGAGUAACACGUGGGUAACCUGCCUGUAAGACUGGGAUAACUCCGGGAAACCGGGGCUAAUACCGGAUGGUUGUUUGGACCGCAUGGUUCAAACAUAAGAGGUGGCUUCGGCUACCACUUACAGAUGGACCCGCGGCGCAUUAGCUAGUUGGUGAGGUAACGGCUCACCAAGGCAACGAUGCGUAGCCGACCUGAGAGGGUGAUCGGCCACACUGGGACUGAGACACGGCCCAGACUCCUACGGGAGGCAGCAGUAGGGAAUCUUCCGCAAUGGACGAAAGUCUGACGGAGCAACGCCGCGUGAGUGAUGAAGGUUUUCGGAUCGUAAAGCUCUGUUGUUAGGGAAGAACAAGUACCGUUCGAAUAGGGCGGUACCUUGACGGUACCUAACCAGAAAGCCACGGCUAACUACGUGCCAGCACCCGCGGUAAUACGUAUGUGGCAAGCGUUGUCCGGAAUUAUUGGGCGUAAAGGGCUCGCAGGCCCUUUCUUAAAUCUGAUG